UUGUAAAUGAAAAGAAGAUUAAAAUUGCUGAAAGAUUAGAUAAUGAGUUAAAGUAUAUGUACCGGUGUGGAUCUGUUAGAGAGAUCCGUCUUUAACCAACUCGCAUUUCCAAAAGACUUCAUCGGAGUUGUUGUCGUCGCCGGUGGAGCCUGCUGCUGCACUGUCUUGCUAAGCUGCUGGUUUCGCUGGACAAAGCUGCCGGUAGUCUUUGCAGGUUGCUG
This 221-nucleotide unclassified non-coding RNA is filed under the name Hevea brasiliensis (rubber tree). Lineage: Eukaryota; Viridiplantae; Streptophyta; Magnoliopsida; Malpighiales; Euphorbiaceae. The record is from RNAcentral.